This 121-nucleotide ribosomal RNA is filed under the name Puccinia kuehnii. RNAcentral describes it as "partial 5.8S ribosomal RNA". It matches the Rfam family "5.8S ribosomal RNA", at positions 35 to 154 of the family's 154-position model. From Rfam's summary of the family: 5.8S ribosomal RNA (5.8S rRNA) is a component of the large subunit of the eukaryotic ribosome. The record is from RNAcentral. Lineage: Eukaryota; Fungi; Basidiomycota; Pucciniomycetes; Pucciniales; Pucciniaceae.
GAUGAAGAACACAGUGAAAUGUGAUAAGUAAUGUGAAUUGCAGAAUUCAGUGAAUCAUUGAAUCUUUGAACGCACCUUGCACCUUUUGGUAUUCCAAGAGGUACACCUGUUUGAGUGUCAU